GGCCCCGUAGUGUAGCGGCCUAGCACGCUGCCCUCUCAAGGCGGUAACGCCGGUUCGAACCCGGUCGGGGCUA
Molecule: transfer RNA, 73 nt
Filed under: Dermatophilus congolensis
Lineage: Bacteria; Bacillati; Actinomycetota; Actinomycetes; Micrococcales; Dermatophilaceae
Also listed under: 1 other name
Rfam family: tRNA
About the family: Transfer RNA (tRNA) molecules are approximately 80 nucleotides in length.
Source: Rfam by way of RNAcentral